Molecule: ribosomal RNA, 360 nt
Filed under: Pseudomonas sp. PRB3
Lineage: Bacteria; Pseudomonadati; Pseudomonadota; Gammaproteobacteria; Pseudomonadales; Pseudomonadaceae
Description: bacterial SSU rRNA
Rfam family: Bacterial small subunit ribosomal RNA
Source: RNAcentral
CUGCCGGUGACAAACCGGAGGAAGGUGGGGAUGACGUCAAGUCAUCAUGGCCCUUACGGCCUGGGCUACACACGUGCUACAAUGGUCGGUACAGAGGGUUGCCAAGCCGCGAGGUGGAGCUAAUCCCAUAAAACCGAUCGUAGUCCGGAUCGCAGUCUGCAACUCGACUGCGUGAAGUCGGAAUCGCUAGUAAUCGCGAAUCAGAAUGUCGCGGUGAAUACGUUCCCGGGCCUUGUACACACCGCCCGUCACACCAUGGGAGUGGGUUGCACCAGAAGUAGCUAGUCUAACCUUCGGGAGGACGGUUACCACGGUGUGAUUCAUGACUGGGGUGAAGUCGAAACAAGAUUCUAUGUCCAC